RNAcentral lists this long non-coding RNA (941 nucleotides) under Nicotiana benthamiana. Its description in RNAcentral is "long non-coding RNA (NBEN_LNC036896)". Lineage: Eukaryota; Viridiplantae; Streptophyta; Magnoliopsida; Solanales; Solanaceae. The record is from RNAcentral.
CUCUUUCUCUAAAACUGGUCGAGGGCUCCUCCAGGCAGUCAGCUUUCCAUGCUAAUCCUUCAUCUGGUAGCUCAGGCAUGAACUCUAGCCACAGUCCAAUCCAUGCAGUUUAGUGGGGUGCAUUCUCAUGAUAUGUUUCCUGUUAAUAUAUGAUAAUCAUAAUGUUAUGUAGUUUGGUUGGGUUAGUUAUAGUUCUAUUUGUUGGGUUCUUUUCCUGUUAAUAUAUGAUAAUCAUAAUGUUAUGUAGUUUGGUUGGGUUAGUUAUAGUUCUAUUUGUGUGGUCGAUCUUAAUAAGAUUCAUUUAGGGGUUAACGGCAUAGUUGUCAGUACUCUCGUAGCUUGUAGGCACUCUUGUUUUGAAGUAUUCAAGUUGUUGACAUUUCGACUUUGAGUCAAAAAAUUUCGUUCUCCUGCUUUGUGUUCUUUUAAUCUUUGUUUUGAGUGUUGCGACUGUGAAUAUUGAGGUAGUGAAGUACAUUUUUUCCUCUUUUAUUGGAGGAGGUGCUAUUAUGCUAAAGAAUGCUUUACCUCUUCAGCCCAGAUAUAAAGAAGCAAGGGUUCUUGUUCUCUGCAUGAUAUCCUAAACCUGGCAGCACAUAUAAAAGUUUGUGGAGAUGAAGCUGUAGUUCUGUGAAUGACUCAAUUGUUGAAUAAAGUUUUGUGCAAGUACUUUUAGCUGAAUACUGGUAUCAACUUGUCAAGAGUAUGACUAUUACAUAAUGAAGAUAGUUUAAAAGAAUGGAAGGACUGAAAGAGGAUGUUCUUCGCUGAGCUUUUAUAACUUGAAAAGGUGCUUUGAAGUCUUUUUGGAUCUGAAUGUCGGAAUCAUAUCUUAGUAUGUUCCGCUAUAGAAAUUCUGUUCUGGGUUGUUGAUAAGUUCGUGUGGAGAAAACAAUGGAUGAGUUAAAGAUAUUGGUUUUCUGUCUUUUCCUUGUAGGUCU